Molecule: ribosomal RNA, 698 nt
Filed under: uncultured organism
Description: bacterial SSU rRNA
Rfam family: Bacterial small subunit ribosomal RNA
Source: RNAcentral
CUUACACAUGCAAGUCUGGGGGAAACCUUGCUUCGGCGAGGCGGAUACCGGCGGACGGGUGAGUAACACGUGGAUAAUCUGCCCCUAUCACAGGGAUAACGUCGGGAAACUGACGCUAAUACCUGAUGAGGCGUUUACGUCAAAGCUUCGGCGGAUAGGGAUGAGUCUGCGUCUAAUUAGCUUGUUGGUGGGGUAACGGCUCACCAAGGCGACGAUUAGUAGCUGGUUUGAGAGGAUGAUCAGCCACACCGGAACUGAGACACGGUCCGGACUCCUACGGGAGGCAGCAGUGAGGAAUUUUGGGCAAUGGGGGCAACCCUGACCCAGCGACGCCGCGUGCAGGAUGACAGCCCUUCGGGUUGUAAACUGCUUUCGGGUAGGAAGAAAAGCCGGGUAUCCCGGCCGGGACAGUACUGCCAGAAGAAGCACCGGCAAACUACGUGCCAGCAGCCGCGGUAAUACGUAGGGUGCGAGCGUUAUCCGGAAUUACUGGGUAUAAAGGGUGCGUAGGCGGGCUUGUGCGUCGAUGGUUAAAGACCGGGGCUUAACUCCGGGAAUGUCAUCGAUACGGCAGGUCUUGAAUGUGAGAGAGGAUGAUGGAAUUCCUGGUGUAGCGGUGAAAUGCGUAGAUAUCAGGAGGAACACCGGUAGCGAAGGCGGUCAUCCGGCUCAUUAUUGACGCUGAGGCACGAAAGCGU